This 452-nucleotide long non-coding RNA is filed under the name Monodelphis domestica (gray short-tailed opossum). RNAcentral describes it as "lncRNA (ENSMODG00000041700.1)". Lineage: Eukaryota; Metazoa; Chordata; Mammalia; Didelphimorphia; Didelphidae. The record is from RNAcentral.
GAAAAGGGGAAUUUUACUAUAGAGAUUCAGUUAAAAGCGUUGUCACCAAAAUUCUUUGAGACACCACUUUGCUCAUCUUGUCCUAGACUCUGUUGGCCAUACUGGUCGUACUUCUUGGAUGCUGAGAAAACUGGCCAAAUCCUCUGGACCUUUUCAAAGUUAUGAGAUUCCUCUGGCCAAGAUUAGAGAGAGGUGGAUCUGGCUGAUCACUUCCUGUGAGCAGCCUGGGCGCCAGUUUGAUCCUGGAACUCGAGCCUGGAGGAACUCCCUCAGACAGCUUCCUUGAGACGGUCACAUGUUGAGUGGGGAAGAGGGUUCUUGGAGGAAAAGGUGAUGGCAGCCAUCUAGCACUGAGUGGGACCAGCAAAGCCCUGAAAUCUCUCCAAGAAUCCUGGAUAAAGCUGCUGCCUUAUGGUAAUAAAGUGAACCCAAGCUAGCUUCUUAAGAAUCCU